CCCGAGCGUUAUUCGGGAAUCACUGGGCGUAAAGAGUACGUAGGCGGGUUUGGUAAGUCAGGUGUGAAAUCCCGGAGCUCAACUCCGGAACUGCAUCCGAUACUGCCAGACUUGAGUAAUGGAGAGGCAGGUGGAAUUCUCGGUGUAGCAGUGAAAUGCGUGGAUAUCGAGAGGAAGACCAAUGGCGAAGGCAGCCUGCUGGACAUUUACUGACGCUGAGGUACGAAGGCCAGGGUAGCGAAAGGGAUUAGAUACCCCUGUAGUCCUGGCAGUAAACGGUGCGCGCUUGGUGUAGGAGGACUCGACCCCUUCUGUGCCGGAGCUAACGCGUUAAGCGCGCCGCCUGGGGAGUACGGUCGCAAGACUAAAACUCAAAGAAAUUGACGGGGACCCGCACAAGCGGUGGAGUAUGUGGCUUAAUUCGAUGCAACGCGAAGAACCUUACCAAGGCUUGACAUGUAUUGCUAAGCACGUGAAAGCGUGUGACCCUUCGGGGACCUUACACAGGUGCUGCAUGGCCGUCGUCAGCUCGUGUCGUGAGAUGUUUGGUUAAGUCCAGCAACGAGCGCAACCCCUGUGAAUAGUUGCCAGCACGUAAUGGUGGGGACUCUAUUCAGACUGCCCAGGUCAACUGGGAGGAAGGUGGGGAUGACGUCAGGUCAGUAUGGCCCUUACGCCUUGGGCUGCACACGUACUACAAUGCCCAGUACAAUGAGAACCGAGACCGCGAGGUGGAGGAAAUCUGCAAAACUGGGCCCAGUUCGGAUUGGAGGCUGCAACUCGCCUCCAUGAAGUUGGAAUCGCUAGUAAUGGCACAUCAGCUACGGUGCCGUGAAUACGUUCCCGGGUCUUGUACACACCGCCCGUCACAUCAUGGAAGCCGGUCGCACCCGAAGUAUCUGCGCUAACUAUUUAUAGAAGCAAG
This 925-nucleotide ribosomal RNA is filed under the name uncultured bacterium. RNAcentral describes it as "bacterial SSU rRNA". It matches the Rfam family "Bacterial small subunit ribosomal RNA", at positions 533 to 1453 of the family's 1533-position model. The record is from RNAcentral.